GUGGCUCGGGCAGGCGCUGCACCAUGGGCCUGGCCGCGUUCCCGGCCGGAUUCCUCCGGAUGGAGCCGCUUUCCGAGCCUGCCGAGCGGAUCGAGCGCACCGGGGCGCGCCAGACGCCGAGAUGGUGCCGAGAGUGUCGUAGUCAUCCAGACCGUCGCAGAUCACGCGCCACUGCGAGAAGACAGAGUUGCUGCUGAUGGAGUUAAGGUCAAAGCUGCUUCUCGCGCCCAAUAGAUCAUCGGUGCAGAUAUCGCACGUGCUGCCGCCAAUCGCAAAAUUCCAAUACGGAAGCGCAAAGGAGGGGUCCUGGAGCAUAUCCUGUAUUAAAAUAUGUUAAAUAUCACAUUAUCUGCAUAGGAAGUAUUACAUUUGGUGCAAAAGUGAAGCGGGAUGUUUACUGAAGGCAUUUUCUGCAACACAUUUGCACUACGACGAACAUCAUUCAAGGAGAGAGAAAAGACGAAAACCAUGCGUAACAUCAGUUGCCAUGUAGGAAUGCCUUUGCAAAAUUAACUUAAGAGACUAAAUAUAAAGUAGGCCUAAUAAGUAAUUUAUAGAGAAAUUAAAAGCAAAUGUCAUAUGAUAAAAUCUGACGUAAAUUCAAAUAAUGCAAAUGUCAGACAGCAUUCAUUUUCACUGUCAUUUAUAAUAUUUCCAAUAUAGUUUGUCAUUAUUAAAUUGAUGAAGGCAAAUAUAUAGUGGUAACAACCAAUUCAGCCAGAGCUCUCCUUUUGUAUUUGAAAAUAAAUUUGAAACGCUU
Long non-coding RNA from Anguilla anguilla (European eel), 760 nucleotides. RefSeq lists it as uncharacterized. The transcript is spliced from 2 exons. The record is from RefSeq and is a predicted model, not a curated record. Lineage: Eukaryota; Metazoa; Chordata; Actinopteri; Anguilliformes; Anguillidae.